CCUCGGCCAGGCCCCGGCAGCAGAAGGGAGGCAGCUGUGCUGCAAACUACUGGAGUCCGGACAUGCAGGACCGCAGGCUGCAGGCUCCCAUUUGGCAGAAAGGACUUUUGCUGAAAUCCCCAGCGGGGCACUCGACCCCUCUAGUGGGUUGUGCCAUGCACUCCAUUGUCGCCGCCCCCGACCGGCCCCUGGCACCGUGUCCCUCCUACCUGAGCAGGCUCUGACUCCAGCCCUGGACACAGCUGGGGUGGCCACGGUGACUGCUGAGAAGAGGGGCUGUCCACACAGCCUGGUGGCUUGGAGCCCCGGGACCCCCACACCUGGGUCAGGGUGGGGCCGGAUGAGGUCUGAGCAGGCGCCCGACAGCCCCGUGUGCAGGAGACGCACAGCACUCACCGACCCCAGGCGUGACUACGUUUGAGGCAACCAUGAAGGCUUCAGACAUUCAAACUUCUUAAUAGACCAGGCGUGGUGGCUCACGCCUGGAAUCCCAGCACUUUGGGAGGCUGAGCUUUCCUCAUUGGCCGUCAUGCCUUGGAUCAUUAAGGACACUUUGGAACGGAGCUUUGCUAUUCUCUGAAGAUACACAAAAUCCUCCACUGCUCACGUCAUAAUCUAUUUACCAACUGUGGAAAAUUCCGCGGUGCCUGUGGUUUUUAAAGUGAUGCUGAAGCGAG
Molecule: long non-coding RNA, 677 nt
Filed under: Homo sapiens (human)
Lineage: Eukaryota; Metazoa; Chordata; Mammalia; Primates; Hominidae
Description: HSALNT0392253
Source: RNAcentral